This 838-nucleotide ribosomal RNA is filed under the name uncultured bacterium. RNAcentral describes it as "bacterial SSU rRNA". It matches the Rfam family "Bacterial small subunit ribosomal RNA", at positions 64 to 896 of the family's 1533-position model. The record is from RNAcentral.
GAACGGUAACAGGGAGCUUGCUCCGCUGACGAGUGGCGAACGGGUGAGUAAUGUAUCGGAACGUACCAUUCAGUGGGGGAUAACGUAGCGAAAGUUACGCUAAUACCGCAUAUUCUGUGCGCAGGAAAGCAGGGGAUCGCAAGACCUUGCGCUGAUUGAGCGGCCGAUAUCAGAUUAGCUAGUUGGUGAGGUAAAAGCUCACCAAGGCGACGAUCUGUAGCGGGUCUGAGAGGAUGAUCCGCCACACUGGAACUGAGACACGGUCCAGACUCCUACGGGAGGCAGCAGUGGGGAAUUUUGGACAAUGGGGGCAACCCUGAUCCAGCCAUGCCGCGUGAGUGAAGAAGGCCUUCGGGUUGUAAAGCUCUUUCAGCCGGGAAGAAAAUGCAUGGGUUAAUACCCUGUGCAGAUGACGGUACCGGAAUAAGAAGCACCGGCUAACUACGUGCCAGCAGCCGCGGUAAUACGUAGGGUGCGAGCGUUAAUCGGAAUUACUGGGCGUAAAGCGUGCGCAGGCGGUUUUGUAAGACAGGCGUGAAAUCCCCGGGCUUAACCUGGGAACUGCGUUUGUGACUGCAAGGCUAGAGUACGGCAGAGGGGGGUGGAAUUCCACGUGUAGCAGUGAAAUGCGUAGAGAUGUGGAGGAACACCAAUGGCGAAGGCAGCCCCCUGGGUCGAUACUGACGCUCAUGCACGAAAGCGUGGGUAGCAAACAGGAUUAGAUACCCUGGUAGUCCACGCCCUAAACGAUGUCAACUAGGUGUUGGGAGGGUAAAACCUUUUAGUACCGUAGCUAACGCGAGAAGUUGACCGCCUGGGGAGUACGGCCGCAAGGUUA